AUUGAACGCUGGCGGCAUGCCUUACACAUGCAAGUCGAACGGCAUCGCGGGAAAGCUUGCUUUCCUGGCGGCGAGUGGCGAACGGGUGAGUAACGCAUCGGAACGUACCGGCUAGUGGGGGAUAACCCGUCGAAAGACGGGCUAAUACCGCAUACGCUCUUCGGAGGAGAGCAGGGGACCUUUGGGCCUUGCGCUAGUCUAGCGGCCGAUGUCCGCUGAGCUAGUUGGUGGGGUUAAGGCCUCCCAAGGCGACGAGCGGUAGCGGGUGUGAGAGGACGGUCGGCCGCACUGGAGCUGGGACACGGCCAAGACUCCUGCGGGAGGCAGCAGUGGGGAAUGUGGGACAAUGGGGGCAACCCUGAUCCAGCGAGGCCGCGUGGGUGAAGGAGGCCUUGGGGUUGUAAAGCCCGUUCGGCAGGGAAGAAAUCGGCGGGGCGAAUAACCCGGCUGGAUGACGGUACCGGCUGAAGAAGCACCGGCUAACUACGUG
This 490-nucleotide ribosomal RNA is filed under the name uncultured bacterium. Its description in RNAcentral is "partial 16S ribosomal RNA". It matches the Rfam family "Bacterial small subunit ribosomal RNA", at positions 28 to 507 of the family's 1533-position model. The record is from RNAcentral.